GACGAACGCUGGCGGCGUGCUUAACACAUGCAAGUCGAACGGAAAGGCCCUGCUUUUGUGGGGUGCUCGAGUGGCGAACGGGUGAGUAACACGUGAGUAACCUGCCCUUGACUUUGGGAUAACUUCAGGAAACUGGGGCUAAUACCGGAUAGGAGCUCCUGCUGCAUGGUGGGGGUUGGAAAGUUUCGGCGGUUGGGGAUGGACUCGCGGCUUAUCAGCUUGUUGGUGGGGUAGUGGCUUACCAAGGCUUUGACGGGUAGCCGGCCUGGGAGGGUGACCGGCCACAUUGGGACUGAGAUACGGCCCAGACUCCUACGGGCGGCAGCAGUGGGGAAUAUUGCAGAAUGGGCGGAAGCCUGAUGCAGCAACGCCGCGUGCGGGAUGACGGCCUUCGGGUUGUAAACCGCUUUCGCCUGUGACGAAGCGUGAGUGACGGUAAUGGGUAAAGAAGCACCGGCUAACUACGUG
This 468-nucleotide ribosomal RNA is filed under the name uncultured bacterium. RNAcentral describes it as "partial 16S ribosomal RNA". It matches the Rfam family "Bacterial small subunit ribosomal RNA", at positions 28 to 507 of the family's 1533-position model. The record is from RNAcentral.